CCUACGGGAGGCAGCAGUCGAGAAUCUUUCACAAUGGGGGAAACCCUGAUGGAGCGACGCCGCGUGGAGGAUGAAGGUCUUCGGAUUGUAAACUCCUGUCAUGAAAGAACAAGCAAUGUGGGUAAACAGCCUGCAAAGUUGAUAGUAUUUCAAGAGGAAGGGACGGCUAACUUCGUGCCAGCAGCCGCGGUAAU
RNAcentral lists this ribosomal RNA (194 nucleotides) under uncultured bacterium. Its description in RNAcentral is "partial 16S ribosomal RNA". It matches the Rfam family "Bacterial small subunit ribosomal RNA", at positions 338 to 524 of the family's 1533-position model. The record is from RNAcentral.